RNAcentral lists this transfer RNA (71 nucleotides) under Sphingobacteriales bacterium 44-15. Its description in RNAcentral is "tRNA-Cys". It matches the Rfam family "tRNA". From Rfam's summary of the family: Transfer RNA (tRNA) molecules are approximately 80 nucleotides in length. Lineage: Bacteria; Pseudomonadati; Bacteroidota; Sphingobacteriia; Sphingobacteriales. The record is from RNAcentral. RNAcentral also lists the same sequence under 1 other name.
GGUGUCGUGGUCGAGCGGUAAGGCGCAGCUCUGCAAAAGCUGUUACACUGGUUCAAUUCCAGUCGGCACCU